Non-coding RNA from Triticum aestivum (bread wheat), 127 nucleotides. The record is from Rfam. NCBI's taxonomy places the organism in Eukaryota, Viridiplantae, Streptophyta, Magnoliopsida, Poales, Poaceae.
CUGGUACUCCCUCCGUCCCAAAAUACUUGUUGGAGCAAUGGAUAAAAAAAUGGAUGUAUGUAGAACUAAAAUACGUCUAGAUACAUCCAUUUCUCCGACAAGUAUUUUUGGACGGAGGGAGUAUCAU